RNAcentral lists this long non-coding RNA (1057 nucleotides) under Phoenix dactylifera (date palm). Its description in RNAcentral is "long non-coding RNA (PDAC_LNC005873)". Lineage: Eukaryota; Viridiplantae; Streptophyta; Magnoliopsida; Arecales; Arecaceae. The record is from RNAcentral.
GUUUGAGAGUGAUAAGGCAAGAACCUAUUGUGUUUUGAUAGAAAGUUUCAAAACAGUUUUGUUCAUCUAUGUACGCUCUUUAAUCCAAGAUCAAAGAUGCAAGACACGAGAAAUGUGCGAUGCACUUUUAAUUAAAAAUUAAUAAAAAAAGUUUUAAGGAUUAGAGCAUAAGAGAGAUAAAAUACAUGGAUUAGAGAAGCACUAUUUAUGGUUUUUUUUUCCUCCCAAUUUUGAAAAGAGUUCAAGAGGUUGGCAACGUGGAUAGCAAUUGAUAAAAAUUUUUUGGGAAAAAUAGAGUCCUAUAAAAUUGUUUAGAUAAGAGAAAAAGAACGAGCAAUUAAUAAAAUUACUGUGAUUACAUAACUAACUUCUUAGUCAUUUUUUUCUAUAGAUAUUCAUAAAGAGAGGAGCUAAAAGUAUUUUAUCUCAAAAUUUAAAAUAUUUUAAGUUUUUUUUUCUGAUUUUAAUUGAAAAUUUUCAACUAUUAAAUCUUUUAUAGUUCAACAUGUCCUUCAAAAAUGCUGGCUCCACAUUAGAAGUAAUACUACACAAUGCAAUUAUAGUAGCUUCUCCGACUAGCGGACCCUCGGUAGCCCCACAAGCCUUUUAUAGAACACGCACGUGUGUGCAGUUGACUCCGUCUGCCACCCCGUGCAUGUCAUAUGGAUGAUGGCUGGCUUGUUCGUGUGUAUAAGUGAUCCUUUUAGCUUUAGGAUGUUAAAGGAAGGGGCCAAGCCUUUGAAGCACAUCACUCCAGACCUAUCUUAAGGAGGAUCUCUGAUCACAUGCCGCAGGUACUAGAUCGUGUUUUGUAUUGUGAUUGCUCUGAACAUAUUUACGGUCGAGCAUAAUGAGACACGUACUGUAAUAACCCCAAAUUUUUUUUUUAUAAAAAGGGAUAGAAUAGUCCUUUAAAAUUGAUAUAAGGGGUAAAAUUGGAAGGAAUCAAAAGAUAAUGGCAUAGUUGUAGAUGUGUUGAAGUGGUAAGGGUAAAAUUGGAAAGAAAUCAAAAGUUAAUGGCAUAACAGUAGAUAUGUUGAAGUGUUAGGGGCAAAAU